Molecule: ribosomal RNA, 492 nt
Filed under: uncultured bacterium
Lineage: Bacteria
Description: partial 16S ribosomal RNA
Rfam family: Bacterial small subunit ribosomal RNA
Source: RNAcentral
AGUGAACGCUGGCGGUAGGCCUAAUACAUGCAAGUCGAGCGAACGCACAGUAAGAGCUCGCCCCUACGGGUGGCGACUGACGGACGGGUAAGGCAUACAUAGGCUACCUAUUAUACGUGGAGGACAUCGUGGGGCCACUUAUGCUACUACAGCAUACGAUCUACGGGUUGAUGCAGGAGAUCAUGGCAGUUUUCGUGUCAGAAUGAGACGAUGUCGGAUUAGCUAGUUGGCGAGGUAAGGGCACACCAAGGCAACGAUACGUAGCUGGUCUGAGAGGAUGAUCAGCCACACUGGAACUGAGACACGGUCCAGACUCCUACGGGAGGCAGCAGUAGGGAAUAUUCGACAAUGGGCGCAAGCCUGAUCGAGCAAUACCGCGUGAGUGAUGAAGGUCUUCGGAUUGUAAAACUCUUUUAUUAGGAAAGAAAAGCUGCGUAUGUAACUCCCGCUGUUCUGACGGUACCCAAACAGAAAGCACCGGCUAACUUCGUG